GAUGAACGCUGGCGGCGUGCCUAAUACAUGCAAGUCGAGCGAACAGACGAGGAGCUUGCUCCUCUGACGUUAGCGGCGGACGGGUGAGUAACACGUAGAUAACCUACCUAUAAGACUGGGAUAACUUCGGGAAACCGGAGCUAAUACCGGAUAAUAUAUUGAACCGCAUGGUUCAAUAGUGAAAGACGGUUUUGCUGUCACUUAUAGAUGGAUCCGCGCCGCAUUAGCUAGUUGGUAAGGUAACGGCUUACCAAGGCAACGAUGCGUAGCCGACCUGAGAGGGUGAUCGGCCGCACUGGAACUGAGACACGGUCCAGACUCCUACGGGAGGCAGCAGUAGGGAAUCUUCCGCAAUGGGCGAAAGCCUGACGGAGCAACGCCGCGUGAGCGAUGAAGGUCUUCGGAUCGUAAAACUCUGUUAUUAGGGAAGAACAAAUGUGUAAGUAACUAUGCACGUCUUGACGGUACCUAAUCAGAAAGCCACGGCUAACUACGUG
Molecule: ribosomal RNA, 497 nt
Filed under: uncultured bacterium
Lineage: Bacteria
Description: partial 16S ribosomal RNA
Rfam family: Bacterial small subunit ribosomal RNA
Source: RNAcentral